CUAUACCGACACUGUAGCGAUUUAACAUAGUGGAAUUUGAACCCACCGCUGUUUUAUGUUAAACAAGGACGUCAAGUGGCGGUUAUAGUAGUUAGAUAGCGUAGCAGAAUUUGAACAAAUCACCUUUAAUCCACAAUACACUUUUUAGAACAAAUCACUUUUGAUCCGUAAUACACUUUUUAGUACAAAAUGUACUUGAAUAGAGAAUAGAGGCUAUACGGACACUAUAGCAAUUUAACAAAGUGGAAUUUGAACCCACCGCAGUUUUAUGUUAAACAAGGACGUCAAGUAGCGGUUAUAGUAGUUAGAUAGCGUAGCAAAAUUUGAACAAAUCACUUAUGAUCUUCAAUGCAUCACUUAGUACAAAAUGCAGUUGAAAUAGAGGCUAUAUCGACACUAUAGCAAUGUAACAUAGCGGAAUUUAAACCCACCACUAUUUUAUGUUAUCUGUGCAGGCUG
This 459-nucleotide long non-coding RNA is filed under the name Medicago truncatula (barrel medic). RNAcentral's name for it is "long non-coding RNA (MTRU_LNC007884)". Lineage: Eukaryota; Viridiplantae; Streptophyta; Magnoliopsida; Fabales; Fabaceae. The record is from RNAcentral.